Non-coding RNA from Taeniopygia guttata (zebra finch), 987 nucleotides. The record is from RefSeq and is a predicted model, not a curated record. NCBI's taxonomy places the organism in Eukaryota, Metazoa, Chordata, Aves, Passeriformes, Estrildidae.
AAACCUGCAGCAGUGAAGAAAGGAGGGGUCAAGAGCAGGAGAAAUAGGAAUGCAGGCUUGCCUGAGCCAAGGCAUUAUUUUAAUACUCUUAAAUCCAGGGGUUAAACUUAAGGUUCCUUUACUCUGUUUCUCCAAAGGAGAAAUCCCCACCAGAUACUCUCAAAGAGGUGAAAAUCACACAAAAGUUUACUUGCAAAAACAGAGCAAAUUAAGGAAACUUUGGCAAAAAAAUACAACACUGAAUUCAAAGUAAAUACAGCACUGAAUUCAAUGUAAAACCGCUUAUCAUAGCAAUACUUAACAUUAAUUUAGUAUUAAGCAUUUACUUAGAAUUUAUUUAGCAUUUGCUUAGCCCGUUUAACUGGGAAACCUUUAAAACCUUAAGAUGUUAUGUUAAGCUGCAUGAAAGGAUUAUGAGAAGGAGAGACAGAGAGAGAAAGCUGGAAAAGGUACAGAAAAAACACACAGGUACCAACUCGUGGUGUCCAGCGUGGGUGAGGUAGAAACUCCAAGGAAGAUGUCAGGGCAGGACUGGCCAUAACGCCCUCAGCCCCUUUUAUACCCGUAGCCUUUCAUGGCCCCGCCCCUAAGGUGGGAUUUCUGGUUGCUCGACCAAUCAGAGGCUGGCUAGGGCUGCCUCAGUGUGAUUGACUGGCAGCUCGACCAAUCAGAGGCUGGCUUUUCUCCAAUCCCAAUGCCCAUGGCUGAUCAGUGCUCUGCCCAGGAAAGCCCCUGAGAUGCCUCAAAUCCUCGGUAAGGGCUGUGCACCCAAAGGCAUUAAUGUGACAAUGGCGAGUCCAUGCCUGAGGAGCAUCAUCCAUGUGCAACCACGGUCCCAGCCCGGUACCUCACCUGUCGUGGUGGAAGAGCAUGUUGACCACGUCGUUGAAGAGGUUGGGGUCUUUUGGGGAGAAGAAGCCACUUUUAAUCUGGUCAACAGCCUGUUUCAGCUCGGGGAGCCGGUCGUAGUAGAGCUGGGCGUUGUAC